GGAGUGUGAAAAUGAAUGAAAGGAAACCUCAUUCACAACCUCCGGGAGGCUGGCAGGUGAAGCCCUCCUGCCCUGACUCUUUGUCAAGUGCAGAUCCCAACUAGCAAGUGGAUGCUGCCUUCCUCUCCCAGCUGAAGGGGAGAAAGGAAACCCCAAACUGCUGUCCCAAUGAGACAGGCGUACAUGAACGUGGCCUCGGGAGAGCAACUGUAGGACCAGAGUAGAGAUGGCUGCCUCCUUCAGAAAACUGCAGUAGAAUACAAGGGUAUGCACCUUCUAUCUAAACUAGUUCCACCCAAGAAUAUGCCUCCAAAGCUAUGAAUUACUGAAAUUUGCAGAAAUAGCACUGGGCUGUUUUGAAAGCCAUCCUAUGAGAUGAGGAAAAAGAUACCUGGUUUGACUAUGAGCUUGAACAUGGAAAGACUUUGGACUUUUAUCCAUUCAGCCACACUUCUUUUUGAGACAGCUGCUUUUCUGUCCCAGGAGUCGUGGGCAAGGCUCUGAAAUAUCUGGAGGACAGCCAGAUCUUGACCUACCAGUACGGGAUCCCGACCUCUCUCCAGAAGACAGGCCAGCAGUGGGACUUCCCCAAUGCCUGGGCCCCCUUGCAGGACCUGGUCAUCAGAGGCAGUGGCUUUCCAGCUGGCUCAGAAUUGGAUCCGAACCAACUUUGAGGUCUACUCCAGAAAGUCAGCCAUGUAUGAGAAGUAUGACAUCAGCAACGGUGGUCAGCCAGGUGGUGGAGGGAGUAUGAAGUUCAGUUGAAGGCCUUAAUAGAAAAACACGGACCUCCCCAAAAGAAGAGGGAAUUCUGCCUAGAGACUGCCUUUAGACUUCUCUGGGCCUCCAGCCUGAGGAUCUAACUUGCAGCUUUUGGACUUGCCAGCCUCCAUAGUCACACCCAAGCCAUCGAUCCACACGUGGGACGGAACCUUGAGCCAUUCUGUUUGAGAUGUUAAAGGAAAAGGUAACUCUCUGCCGUGGUGAUCUUGGAGCCACCAGAGCGAUUGGCAUCUGGGUCACAGAUGUGGGACCAACUUGUGCCCCCGACACCGGGGCACCCCAGUCACCCACCACCACCCCACCACAUGAGGGAAGGGCUUAGCAGGUGGCACCCGCUGAGACUAAGAAACGAAGAGGAAAAGUCCACAGUGGGGAGCAGGGGUCGGCUUCUGCAAGCUGAGCCGGGACAGCAAGGCCACGCAGACCUGAGAUACAGCGCCCAGGGUGGCCACGCCUCACUUGUGGACUUUGGCAGCCCGGGU
Felis catus (domestic cat) is the source of this 1265-nucleotide long non-coding RNA. RefSeq lists it as uncharacterized. Lineage: Eukaryota; Metazoa; Chordata; Mammalia; Carnivora; Felidae. The record is from RefSeq and is a predicted model, not a curated record. The transcript is spliced from 8 exons.